CGGCGGACGGGUGAGUAACGCGUGGGUAACCUGCCCCAUACAGGGGGAUAACAGUCAGAAAUGACUGCUAAUACCGCAUAAGACCACGGAGCCGCAUGGCGCAGUGGUAAAAACUCCGGUGGUAUGAGAUGGGCCCGCGUCUGAUUAGGCAGUUGGCGGGGUAACGGCCCACCAAGCCGACGAUCAGUAGCCGACCUGAGAGGGUGACCGGCCACAUUGGGACUGAGACACGGCCCAG
Molecule: ribosomal RNA, 238 nt
Filed under: uncultured bacterium
Lineage: Bacteria
Description: partial 16S ribosomal RNA
Rfam family: Bacterial small subunit ribosomal RNA
Source: RNAcentral